AGCUUGAAAGAGUGAGUGACCCUGCGACAGUGAGAUGGGGUGCCGACGGAAUUGUCUUCUCCGAACUCACGCUGGAGCAUCGCAAGAUACUGUGCAAGCGUCUGCAGCCGAACAUCGACCAAGGGCAACUGAACGACUUGGCGGAUUUCUUGAUGGAGAGCUCGUAUCCACAGGGAUGCUCCAAAAUUGUGGCCGGUCGUGCCCGUGAGCACGGUCUGAUGUUCUUCGAGGCCCUGCUGGAUUUGUGGCUGGACAGUAACGGCUCUGCCAGUGCACGGCAGUACCUGAAUGCGCUUGAGAUGGUCAGCGCAAGUGCAACUGCUUAUGCUAAGCGUGUGCUUCAGCCGGACCAGUGGUGACUGCUACACAACGCACCUGAGACCCCUGUGGCGAACACACAAUAAGUGCUUUUAUGCUGACUAUUUCUGAGUGGUGAAUGUCAUUCACGCCUGGAGAAUACUGCUCUAAGUUAUGAAUUGUAAGUCUGAAUUCUCCCUUUGUUCAUGCCAUUUACACUGGGCAUUGCAGCAGAAUAGCACACAGCCAUUCAGACGAAUUGCCUUGUUUGCUAAUUCGAAAAGCAUAACUUUGAGGUGUAGAUAUUUCUCCAUAAAUACCUGGAAAGUCUAUUUGUUCAGAGAGUUGAUACUAAUCUCCACGUAGAAUGCAAGAUAAAGUCGUGCGCUUGAUGCAGAUUUGAUAGAAUUGCAAAGUAGUUCUAUUCAAUCAACCAAGUCUUCAGUUACCGUUGACAUUUUUGGUCAGUGACCAUCACCAAGAGACUGAAUUGCGAACUAAUUUUUGUAUACUUGCUGCUGAUAUUGUUGAUUCUUCAUUUCCCAUGGGACGGUUCGAGGUUCAUAUUAUCCCCGGCGUUUGGAUACUUGGUUUAGCUGAUCAGACGUGUUGACAAGUGCAGUGUCAGCAUUUGCAAUAUUAUAAUCAGAAGUGUCUAAUUUUGACAAAAUAUUUUUCUUUUAUUGAUUUUAUAAUUCUGAACCUGUUGUCAGGCCUAGGGUUCCUUCUGUCAAAAUCUACUUCAAAGUAUUUUAGGUUUUUUUCAAAUUGAAAAUUUUGUUGAUGAUAUUUGAUAAUAAUUCUCAAAAAAUA
This is a long non-coding RNA of Sycon ciliatum, 1110 nucleotides long. RefSeq lists it as uncharacterized. The record is from RefSeq and is a predicted model, not a curated record. Lineage: Eukaryota; Metazoa; Porifera; Calcarea; Leucosolenida; Sycettidae. The transcript has 4 exons.